UAGGGAAUCUUCGGCAAUGGACGAAAGUCUGACCGAGCAACGCCGCGUGAGUGAAGAAGGUUUUCGGAUCGUAAAACUCUGUUGUUAGAGAAGAACAAGGACGUUAGUAACUGAACGUCCCCUGACGGUAUCUAACCAGAAAGCCACGGCUAACUACGUGCCAGCAGCCGCGGUAAUACGUAGGUGGCAAGCGUUGUCCGGAUUUAUUGGGCGUAAAGCGAGCGCAGGCGGUUUCUUAAGUCUGAUGUGAAAGCCCCCGGCUCAACCGGGGAGGGUCAUUGGAAACUGGGAGACUUGAGUGCAGAAGAGGAGAGUGGAAUUCCAUGUGUAGCGGUGAGAUGCGUAGAUAUAUGGAGGAACACCAGUGGCGAAGGCGUCUCUCUGGUCUGUAACUGACGCUGAGGCUCGAAAGCGUGGGGAGCAAACAGG
This 429-nucleotide ribosomal RNA is filed under the name Gemmatimonadota bacterium. RNAcentral's name for it is "Gemmatimonadetes bacterium partial 16S ribosomal RNA". It matches the Rfam family "Bacterial small subunit ribosomal RNA", at positions 355 to 776 of the family's 1533-position model. The record is from RNAcentral. Lineage: Bacteria; Pseudomonadati; Gemmatimonadota.